AACCUAGCACACCUGCGGUGUGUACCUGCGGAAGGAUCAUUAUAGAGUUUUCUAAACUCCCAACCCAUGUGAACUUACCUUUUGUUGCCUCGGCAGAAGUUAUAGGUCUUCUUAUAGCUGCUGCCGGUGGACCAUUAAACUCUUGUUAUUUUAUGUAAUCUGAGCGUCUUAUUUUAAUAAGUCAAAACUUUCAACAAUGGAUCU
RNAcentral lists this unclassified non-coding RNA (204 nucleotides) under soil metagenome. RNAcentral describes it as "partial contains 5.8S ribosomal RNA, internal transcribed spacer 2, and large subunit ribosomal RNA". The record is from RNAcentral.